AGAGUUUGAUCAUGGCUCAGAACGAACGCUGGCGGCAGGCCUCAAACAUGCAAGUCUAGGGGGGUAGCAAUACCCACCGGCGGACGGGUGCGUAACACGUGGGAAUAUACCUUUUGGUUCGGAACAACUGAGGGAAACUUCAGCUAAUACCGAAUGUGUCCUUACGGAGAAAGAUUUAUCGCCAAAGGAUUAGCCCGCGUUCGAUUAGCUAGUUGGUAGGGUAACGGCCUACCAAGGCGACGAUCGAUAGCUGUUCUGAGAGGAAGAUCAGCCACACUGGGACUGAGACACGGCCCAGACUCCUACGGGAGGCAGCAGUUGGGAAUCUUGGACAAUGGGGGAAACCCUGAUCCAGCCAUGCCGCGUGAGUGAUGAAGGCCUUCGGGUUGUAAAACUCUUUCGACGGGGACGAUAAUGACGGUACCCGUAGAAGAAGCUCCGGCUAACUUCGUGCCAGCAGCCGCGGUAAUACGAAGGGGGCUAGCGUUGUUCGGAAUUACUGGGCGUAAAGCGCGCGCAGGCGGUUUUCCAAGUCAGUGGUGAAAGCCCGGAGCUCGACUCCGGAACUGCCAUUGAAACUGUUAAACUUGAGGACGAGAGAGGUGAGUGGAAUUCCCAGUGUAGAGGUGAAAUUCGUAGAUAUUGGGAAGAACACCGGUGGCGAAGGCGGCUCACUGGCUCGUUUCUGACGCUCAGGCGCGACAGCGUGGGGAUCAAACAGGAUUAGAUACCCUAGUAGUCC
RNAcentral lists this ribosomal RNA (742 nucleotides) under uncultured bacterium. RNAcentral's name for it is "bacterial SSU rRNA". It matches the Rfam family "Bacterial small subunit ribosomal RNA", at positions 8 to 796 of the family's 1533-position model. The record is from RNAcentral.